GAUGAACGCUGGCGGCGUGCCUAAUACAUGCAAGUCGAGCGAACAGAUGAGGAGCUUGCUCCUCUGACGUUAGCGGCGGACGGGUGAGUAACACGUGGAUAACCUACCUAUAAGACUGGGAUAACUUCGGGAAACCGGAGCUAAUACCGGAUAAUAUAUUGAACCGCAUGGUUCAAUAGUGAAAGACGGUUUUGCUGUCACUUAUAGAUGGACCCGCGCCGCAUCAGCUAGUUGGUAGGGUAACGGCCUACCAAGGCAGCGACGCGUAGCCGACCUGAGAGGGGGGACGGCCAUAGGGGGACUGCGCCACGGUCAAGACUGCUACGGGAGGCAGCAGUGGGGAAUAUGGCACAGUGGGCGCAAGCAUGAUGCAGCGACGCCGGGGGAGGGAGGGAGUCCUUCGGGUUGUGAACAUCUUUCGCCAGUGAAGAAGUCCGGCCUCGUUGGUGGGUGGGUUGACGGUAGCUGGAUAAGAAGCGCCGGCUAACUACGUG
This 494-nucleotide ribosomal RNA is filed under the name uncultured bacterium. RNAcentral's name for it is "partial 16S ribosomal RNA". It matches the Rfam family "Bacterial small subunit ribosomal RNA", at positions 28 to 507 of the family's 1533-position model. The record is from RNAcentral.